RNAcentral lists this ribosomal RNA (498 nucleotides) under uncultured bacterium. RNAcentral's name for it is "partial 16S ribosomal RNA". It matches the Rfam family "Bacterial small subunit ribosomal RNA", at positions 30 to 523 of the family's 1533-position model. The record is from RNAcentral.
AUUGAACGCUGGCGGCAUGCCUUACACAUGCAAGUCGAACGGUAACAGGUCUUCGGAUGCUGACGAGUGGCGAACGGGUGAGUAAUACAUCGGAACGUGCCCGAUCGUGGGGGAUAACGAAGCGAAAGCUUUGCUAAUACCGCAUAAGAUCUACGGAUGAAAGCAGGGGACCGCAAGGCCUUGCGCGAACGGAGCGGCCGAUGGCAGAUUAGGUAGUUGGUGGGAUAAAAGCUUACCAAGCCGACGAUCUGUAGCUGGUCUGAGAGGACGACCAGCCACACUGGGACUGAGACACGGCCCAGACUCCUACGGGAGGCAGCAGUGGGGAAUUUUGGACAAUGGGCGAAAGCCUGAUCCAGCCAUGCCGCGUGCAGGAUGAAGGCCUUCGGGUUGUAAACUGCUUUUGUACGGAACGAAAAGACUCUUUCUAAUAAAGAGGGUCCAUGACGGUACCGUAAGAAUAAGCACCGGCUAACUACGUGCCAGCCGCCGCCGUAA